RNAcentral lists this ribosomal RNA (366 nucleotides) under Staphylococcus pseudintermedius. Its description in RNAcentral is "bacterial SSU rRNA". It matches the Rfam family "Bacterial small subunit ribosomal RNA", at positions 1176 to 1533 of the family's 1533-position model. The record is from RNAcentral. Lineage: Bacteria; Bacillati; Bacillota; Bacilli; Caryophanales; Staphylococcaceae.
GGGAUGACGUCAAAUCAUCAUGCCCCUUAUGAUUUGGGCUACACACGUGCUACAAUGGACAAUACAAAGGGCAGCGAAACCGCGAGGUCAAGCAAAUCCCAUAAAGUUGUUCUCAGUUCGGAUUGUAGUCUGCAACUCGACUACAUGAAGCUGGAAUCGCUAGUAAUCGUAGAUCAGCAUGCUACGGUGAAUACGUUCCCGGGUCUUGUACACACCGCCCGUCACACCACGAGAGUUUGUAACACCCGAAGCCGGUGGAGUAACCAUUUUGGAGCUAGCCGUCGAAGGUGGGACAAAUGAUUGGGGUGAAGUCGUAACAAGGUAGCCGUAUCGGAAGGUGCGGCUGGAUCACCUCCUUUCUAAGGA